Molecule: long non-coding RNA, 378 nt
Organism: Dendronephthya gigantea
Lineage: Eukaryota; Metazoa; Cnidaria; Anthozoa; Malacalcyonacea; Nephtheidae
Exons: 3
Source: RefSeq, a predicted model, not a curated record
CGAAUCGAUAAUAUUCUUAUAAUCUUACAAAACAAUUAAAUUAACGUGAAUUUAUCAUUAUACAGAGGCUCUCGUACACACAAUGGUGUCGACAUAAUUUGCAAACCAGGGAUUUCUGUCAUGACACCAUUUGCUGCGAAGAUUUGACGAAAAUCACGUUCUUAUUCAAACAACAACAAACCAUAUAACAAUGGAUUGUAUAUUCAAGGAAGCGGAGAAGCCGAAGAUAUAAAAUGGAUAUUUCAGGUGGUCUUGGAAGAUCUGCUGGAAAGAUAUGGCGUGUUGGUCUGAUGGGGUUGAACAGUACAAAAGAUAAUGUAAAUCUUGUACUAAAAGCCUUCAAGGAUGCCAUGGAAAACGUGAAAUUACAAAACAAUC